Molecule: long non-coding RNA, 1014 nt
Filed under: Vitis vinifera (wine grape)
Lineage: Eukaryota; Viridiplantae; Streptophyta; Magnoliopsida; Vitales; Vitaceae
Description: long non-coding RNA (VVIN_LNC003330)
Source: RNAcentral
AUAGCCAUGUACGUGUAGACACGUCCAGUGUAUUUUUGACCAGCAUAAAUCAUGGGAGAGAUGCUUUUCCCUGUUCAGAAGCGUCCAGUGCUACAUAUUCCUGUAAGUGUUUGCACUUUCUAUGCCUCCUUUCUUGUGUCUUUCUCUUUCCAUGCUAACAGACUAUUCUCUUCCAAACAACAGAAGUAAGGUUUAUGAUAUGGAGAACACAGGCAUGUGGGAAUGUACUUAACUACUCAUAGUUUCUGAUCCAUUAGAAUUUUUGAGCUAACAUGGUGCUCCUCCCGCUUCCCAUGUCCAGGAAAUUUUGUAAAAAUGCAUCACCUUCAGGCUGGUAAACUGUUUACAGUUUACAAGGAUGAAAGAGCUGGAAAAACAACCCUGGUUUGUUCAGUCAUGAACCUUGGAAUAAAUAGCUGAAUUUCCUAUCAUGUUUAAAUGAGAAUAGGCAAAAUAUGAGCAAAUUUUCCACUUUUAGCAUCAGAACAUGGUUAAAUGAAAGCUCCAUCUGAUUUUCUGUGAAUUUGUUUCUGCAACAAAUCCCUGGCCUUUAGUUUUUGACUGCAUUAUUUCCAUUUUCCUUUCAAGAUUACUGGCGGAAAGGAGGCAGUGAAAACCGGCACAUGCUGAGGAUAAGGAUGGAUCAAUACAUGCAGCUAGGGUAGGUGAAGCAGACAACGACUGGUACAGGCGAGACAAGAGACCUCAAUAAUCAACACAGCUCGGUACACUCUGAAACUCCAGUGCAGACACCAAUAAUACAUGUGGCCCAUUUCAAACCGUGCCCCCAGAUGUCGGUCCCGGUGAUACCCUUUGAUCCCUGACAGCUGAAAAUGUACUAUUACCCUACAUAACUUCUCUGUAAUCUCUCACACAAAAAAAUGAAUAGUAGCUUCCUGCAAUGCAUUGAAACUAGCUAAGUGGCUCUCACAGUGAAAGCCACCGCAAAAAUUUAUCAACCUUCGUCAAGAGAUACCCCUACGUAAUAAUAGCUGACAAUAAUUUAUCAUUCCA